UACGAAGGGAGCUAGCGUUACUCGGAAUAACUGGGCGUAAAGCGCAUGUAGGCGGAACUACAAGUCAGGGGUGAAAUCCCGAGGCUCAACCUCGGAAUUGCCUUUGAAACUGUAGUUCUUGAGUAUGACAGAGGAUGGUGGAAUUUCCAGUGUAGAGGUGAAAUUCGUAGAUAUUGGAAAGAACACCGGUGGCGAAGGCGACCAUCUGGGUCAUAACUGACGCUGAGAUGCGAAAGCGUGGGGAGCGAACGGG
Molecule: ribosomal RNA, 253 nt
Filed under: uncultured bacterium
Lineage: Bacteria
Description: partial 16S ribosomal RNA
Rfam family: Bacterial small subunit ribosomal RNA
Source: RNAcentral